RNA transcript from Mercenaria mercenaria, 11147 nucleotides. It is a transcript of the gene named myoneurin-like, with no coding region annotated. The record is from RefSeq and is a predicted model, not a curated record. The transcript has 6 exons. NCBI's taxonomy places the organism in Eukaryota, Metazoa, Mollusca, Bivalvia, Venerida, Veneridae.
GUAGAAUACUCUUCAAGCCAAUAAAAAUGGAGGUAAUCAGAUAAUUGAGACUGGAAUGAUGCUUUGUUUAAUUUCAACAAAUCACGCCGAAUUCUCUUCAGUUUAGGUCAGAUGGUUUGAAGACUGGCACAACCAAAGACUGAUGACUUGAUCUUACUGCAUGGAUAGAUAGAAACAGUCAGAUUCACUCCUAAAUUGAAGGGGGAAACUUCAUUAUUCACAGGUUGUUCACCAGCUUGCAGUAACCAUGGCAACAGAACUAGAUGUGUUGAAGGAGAUUCCAGGUUAUAAAGCCAUUCUGAAAUCUGUCCUCAAGUCACAAAUUCAGAUGUUGAUGGAGCAAUUGUCUGACCAGACUGGGGAAGAAUCAAUCAUUCUCACAGCAAGUGUACAUGAUGGUUCCCUGUCUCAUUUAGGUUCCAGUACCGGCAAGGGGUUCCUUGAAGGACGGGAUGAAAUCAAGGCACAGUUCCUAGGAUAUUGUCUCAAAAGUCAGCAUAGAAAGGAGUCGAUGGAGGCAGAGUCUCAGCAGUAUAGUCGAAGUCGCACCUUGAUGCCACCAGCCAGGCGUCAGCGGCCCCGUAUUCGCCCAGCACCUUACUCCAUAUCAUCUCCUGGAUCGAGCACUUCUGUAACCUCAGCGCCAUCAUUCCCGAUGUCUUCUCAGCAUGCAAUAACCAGUAUGAAACAGGGCAAUAACAUUAACAUGACAUUAAAAUCUGAAACUGCCGAUGCUUCGGAUAACUUUCUAGACUCGGUUACUGCCGAAGGGGACAAUGAAUUCCCAGGAGCAGAUGAUUCUGGUCUUGCAAACCAGGCGGGCAAUCCUAAUGAAUCAUUUGAUUCUAGUCAAUCGUCUAGCCAGGAUGAUGUGGGUGAUUCCGUCCAAACUGUCAAAAUAGAACCCCAAGGCAAUAAUAAUGACGUAGAGGUAACUGGCGUGGAAAUGGGAGAUAACUCCUUGUCAUCAUCAGACAAUUGGGGCCAGAGUUACGGUUCCUCGGGACAGAAUGAUGGAAACCAGGCAGAUCAAAAUUCAUAUAAUGGGUCUGAGCAGACACAGGAAGUUGCGACGUCACAUAACGUCAAUUUUGGCGGGAUCGCGUUUCCUGGUCUCGAUAACGCGCAUCACGACUUUUCCUCGAGGAUGUUGCCAGAUAUGUCGCCAGCCGAUCUGAAACAAGCACUGUAUCCUCAAGGUAACAUUCUUAAUAAUUCUUCGCUUGAUAUAGAUCAGUUCUCGCCACCACAGAGGAAAGGAUCUUUGUACUGGUGUGUUGUUUGCAAUAAAUCAUUACAAAAUAAAAAUCUCUAUGAAUAUCACAUUAACGCACAUGCGGGUGUUCGACCGUUUGAAUGUGAAAUUUGUAAUCGGAAAUUUGGCAGCAAGCAAGUUUUACAGACGCAUCAGCGGUUGCACAGUGGUGAGAGACCAUUUAAGUGUUCAAAACCAGGUUGUGAUCGAUCGUUCACGGCUAGGAGUGGGCUUGUAUACCAUAUGAAUAAACACCAUAGUGAGUGAAAUUGAAUAAUAGACAAAUUAAUACAGGACCAGAAAAGACAUUGGUAUCAAUUUAAAACUACACAGACUGGAUGUGAAAUUGAACAUGAAGAGAACCAGUGUAUUAGUUGAGUUCCAGGGAAACAGUAUGUUACACAGAUUCGAGGAAAGAUGUUUUCAUGUUGGAACUUUGCUGAACACUUCAGGAGCAGUUUUGUGAUGUAAAGUAGCAGAGAUAUUAGCAAAUGACAUGCUUAUUACCGAAGACUGUUGUGUGAUCAUUUAAUUUCGUUGGCGUAAAAUUUUUGUGGUUUUGGCCAUAUUGGCUAUUUUAAUUUUUAUAAGGCAAUGAAUUGGUAGGUUUCAGUAUUUGAAAAUAAAAUUAAUGGGACUUUUUAUUUGUUUAACAGGAUUUUAAGAAUGGACUGGAACACAAAAUCCACGAAAUUUGUUGCCAACAAAUAUUACAAUUUCACCGUAUGAGUCAUUUGAUAUUUGGCUGCAUGUGAUAAUGUUGCAGCUAGAAGUUAAUUUAAUGUAGUUCUGCAUAUCUGGAUCAAAUGUUUGUCAGAAAUACAGAAUUAAAGGCACUAACCUCCGGAACAUACGACAACAACAAAAAAAAAAGAGAAAAGUUUUUAGAUAUCACAGAAAUAUUGAUAUAUUUCUUAAGAAGGCAUUGAAACUUUAAGUUACUGACAGAUUAUAAGUUUGGAAACAUAAAAACUAGUUGUUUUUGCUUAUUUUCUCCAUUCAAAAUUGUAAAGAGUUUGUAACAAAGGUAAAUUGCCAUACUCGAAAAGCUUUAUAUUUACCAGCUGUUAUCCUCCAUGGUGCAUUGGUCAGAAAAAAAAUUUAUUGCCGCGGCGACCUGUGUUUUGAAUUCCGACUCGGGUAUGUUUUUUUUUUUAUUCUGAUUGGGCAUUUUUAGGUUAGUUGAGAAACAAAAUUUUAUGUUUUGAUGUUCAUAAUAUGUGCAAACUUCAAUUUUAAAGAAAGAUCAGUUUUAAGUCAAAAUCUGGAGGUCAGUGCCUUUAAAUUCAUCCUUCAUAUUUCUGAAACUUGAGGAUGUCCUUGACAGAAAGGGUUGUGCACUGUAUGGGUACUUUUAUUUCUUUGGUUAUAUUAUUUCCUGGGCUUAAGAGGGUGCAAAUUUAUGACUUUAGAGGAUAUUACAUUUGAAUUAUUCAAUAUUGACAAUAAUUUUGACAUUUUUUUUACUGUAAGCUGUAUUUUUUGCCUGAAUGAGCAUAGAUGAAAAUUAAUGAAUCCAUGAAUUUAUUUUCAAGCAAAUAUCACAGAUAUUCAUGACUUUUUCAUGACGCUUGACAUCAGAGUUCGAUUUGUUAGCGCAGCAAAUUUAAGUACACAUACAGUAGUGUGUUUGCUGUUUUUUUUGAGAGUGUAUCUGAUUUUUCACAAGAGUUUCAGUUGUACUAUUUAUUAACCAGCCCAUUUUGUGAAAUACAAACCUUAAUAAAAUGAUGUAUUGUGCCAAAAAUAUGAAAAUGUGUCAGCCAGUUGCUUUAAAGAAGGAAGUAAUUGUGUCUGAAGUACUUUUGUUUUAAUGAAAAAGUUGAUAUACAUUCUUGGCUACAGAGAUGAGAGAAAAAAAACCUUUUGGCCAUUUUUAGCUCGAUUUUUCGAAGAAAAUGUAGAGGUAUUGCACUCACCCCAGCGUUGGUGUCGCCAUUGGUUAAAGUUUUUGAUAGAGUAAAAAAUCUCUUGUUGCUAUCAGAGCUAUUGACUUGAAACUUAAAAUAGUUAUUUACUAUCACAGUCUUCACCAGGAGAAACGAUCCUCAUAACUCUGGUUUGAAUUUUGAAAGAUUUAUGCCCCUUUUUAACUUAGAAUUUUUAGCUCACCUGAGCACGAAGUUUUCAAAGGUGAGCUUUAGUGAUCACCCUGUGUCCGGCGUCCGUCGUCGUCCGUCGUCCGUCCGUCCGUCCGUCGUCAACAAUUUGACUGUUAACACUCUAGAGGUCACAUUUUUGACCCAAUCUUAAUGAAACUUGGUCAGAAUGUUACCCUCAAUAAAAUCUUGGACGAGUUCGAUAUUGGGUCAUCUGGGGUCAAAAACUAGGUCAUCAGGUCAAAUCAAAGGAAAAGCUUGUUAACACUCUAGAGGUCACAUUUUUGGCCCAAUCUUAAUGAAACUUGGUCAGAAUGUUACCCUCAAUAAAAUCUUGGACGAGUUCGAUAUUAAGUCAUCUGGGGUCAAAAACUAGGUCAUCAGGUCAAAUCAAAGGAAAAGCUUGUUAACACUCUAGAGGUCACAAUUUUGGCCCAAUCUUAAUGAAACUUGGUCAGGAUGUUACCCUCAAUAAAAUCUUGGACGAGUUCGAUAUUGGGUCAUCUGGGGUCAAAAACUAGGUCACCAGGUCAAAUCAAAGAAAAAGCUUGUUAACACUCUAGAGGUCACAUUUUUGGCCCAAUCUUAAUGAAACUUGGUCAGAAUGUUACCCUUAAUAAAAUCUUGGACGAGUUCGAUAUUUGGUUAUCUGGGAUCAUAAACUAGGUCACCAGGUCAAAUCAAAGGAAAAGCUUGUUAACACUGUUGAAGCCGCAUUUAUGACUGUAUCUUCAUGAAACUUGGUCAGAUUGUUAAUAUUGAUGAUCGUAAGGUCCAGUUUGAAUCUGGGUCAUGUAGGAUAAAAAACUAGGUCACCAAGCCAAAUCAAAUGAAAAGCUAGUUUACACUAGAGGCCACAUUUAUGACCAUACCUUAAUGAAACUUGGUCAAAUCUUGAUGAUCUAUAGCUCAAGUUCAAAUCUGGGUUAGGUGGGUCAAAAACUAGGUCACUAGGUCAUACCAAAGGAAAAGCUUGUUAACACUCUAGAGGCCACAUUUAUGACUAUAUCUUCAUGAAACUUAGUCAGAAUGUUAAACUUGAUGAUCUUUAGGGCAAUUUUGAAUCUGGGUCAUGUCGGGUCAAAAACUAGGUCACCGGGUCAAAUCAAAGGAAAAGCUAAUUAACACUGUAGAGGCCACGUUAUGACCAUAUCUUAAUGAAACUUGGUCAGAAUGUUAAUCUUGAUAAUCUUUAGGUCAAGUUUAAAUCUGGGUCAGAUGGAGUCAAAAACUAGGUCACUAGGUCAUAUCAAAGGAAAAGCUUGUUAACACUCUAGAGGCCACAUUUUUGACUAUAUCUUCAUGAAACUUAGUCAGAAUGUUAAACUUGAUGGUCUUUAGGUCAAGUUCGAAUCUGGGUCAUGUCGGGUCAAAAACUAGGUCACGGGGGUCAAAUAAAAGGAAUAGUUAGUUAACACUUUAGAGGCCACAUUUAUGACCAUAUCUUAAUGAAACUUGGUCAGAAUGUUAAUCUUGAUGAUCUAUAGGUCAAGUUUAAAUCUGGGUCAGGUGUGUUAAAAAACUAGGUCACUAGGUCAAAUCAAAGGAAAAGCUUGUUAAGACUCUAGAGGCCAGAUUUAUGACUGUAUCUUCAUGAAACUUAAUCAGAAUGUUAAUCUUGAUGAUCUUUAGGUCAAGUUAGAAUCUGGGUCAUGUGGGGGCAAAAACUAGGUCACCGGGUCAAAUCAAAGGAAAAGCUAGUUAACACUUUAGAGGCUACAUUUAUGACCAUAUCUUAAUGAAACUUGGUCAGAAUGUUGAUCUUGAUGAUCUUUAGGUCAAUAGGUCAGGUGAGCGAUACAGGGCCUUCAUGGCCCUCUUGUUUGUUAAUGUUUUUAUUAAGUCAAAUAUCUCUGAUACUAUCAAAGCUUUUGACUUGAUUUACUAUCAAAGUCUACACCAGGAGAAACAAUCCUCAUAACUUAGAUAUGAAUUUUGACAGAGUUAUGCCCCCUUUUAACUUAGAAUUUUUUGGUUAAAGUGUUAUAUAAUGUCAAUAUCUCUGUUACUAUCAAAGCUAUUAACUUGAAACUUUAAAUAGUUAUUUACCAUCAAAGGCUAUAUACACCAUAAGAAACAAUCCACACAACUUUGAUUAGAAUUUUGACAGAUUUAAGUCAAGCUCUGAGGAAAGUGGAGCGUGCUGUCUUACGGACAGCUCUUGUUUAUGUUGCUGUAAAGGAAAUUUUGACCUUUAGCAUGCUAGAUAAAUUGUCGUCUGCUGGAAAUGUCGUCUGCUAAAAUUGUAAAGUUCAUUCAAUUUGCUCCAAAAUUGGAAGAAAUAUUGUCAGAGCAGCAAACAGCUUGGAACCUGAUCAGACGCCGAUUUAAUCGGCGUCUGAUCUGGUUCCAAGCUAUUUGCAAAGGCUGUUAAAUUCGCCUGCAGCAGGCUAAGGGUUAAUUCAAGGGUAAUAUAGGAGUCAUCUUUUGGUUGGUCAUGCAGUCAGAUGCAUUGUCUUUUGAUCUGUUAUAAUAAAAAUAAGGUACUAAAUACUUCAACACUUUGAAUAUUCCAGUGAAAAUUCAUCCACUGGACCAUCAUAAAGUAUAGAUAUGCAUGACAUUUUUAGGGUCUGCCAAAACAUUGCUGAGUAAAGACAUUUAUUUAUCCCCUACCAGUUGAAAAACAGAUUUAGGGACUUUAUCUUUGUCAUACAGUUCAGCCAUAAUAACUUAAAAGAAGGAACUGUAAUAUAACUUGGCAAAACUGUUCCUCAUAAUGAGGUGAUGUGCCAUAAGCAAACCUAUAAACUAAGCUUAAAGGUCAAGGUCACUCUUGGAGCUCAAGCUGAACGGUCAGAAAGUUUUGUUUUUUAGCUCACCUGAGCACGAAGUGCUCAAAGGUGAGCUUUUGUGAUCACCCUGUGUCCGUCAGUCGUCUGUCAUCAACAAUUUGACUGUUAACACUCUAGAGGUCACAAUUUUGGCCCAAUCUUAAUGAAACUUGGUUAGAAUGUUAACCUCAAUAAAAUCUUGGAUGAGUUCGAUAUUGGGUCAUCUGGGGUCAAAAACUAGGUCACCAGGUCAAAUCAAAGGAAAAGCUUGUUAACACUCCUGAGGUCACAAUUUGGGCCCAAUUUUAAUAAACUUGGUCAGAAUGUUACCCUCAGUAAAAUCUUAGACGAGUUCGAUACUGGGUCAUCUAGGGUCAAAAACUAGGUCACCAGGUCAAAUCGAAGGAAAAGCUUGUGAACACUCUAGAGGUCACAAUUUUGGACCACUUUUAAUGAAACUUGGUCAGAAUGUUACCCUCAAUAAAAUCUUGGACGAAUUUGGUAUUGGGUCAUCUGUGGUCAAAAACUAAGGUCACCAGGUCAAAUCAAAGGAAAAGAUUGGUAACACUGUAGAGGCCAUAUUUAAGACUGUAUCUUCAUGAAACUUAGUCAGAAUUUUAAUCUUGAUGAUCUUUAGGUCAAGUUCGAAUCUGGGUCAUAUGGGGUCAAAAACUAGGUCACCCGGUCAAAUCAAAGGAAAAGCUAGUUUACACAGUAGAAGCCACAUUUAUGUCCGUUUCUUAAUGAAACUUGGUCAGAGUGUUAGUCUUGAUGAUCUAUAGGUCAAAUUCAAAUUUGGGUCAGGUGGGGUCAAAAACUAGGUCACUAGGUCAAAUCAAGGAAAAGCUUAUUAACACUCUAAAGGCCACAUUUAUGACUGUAUCUUCAUGAAACUUAGUCAGAAUGUUACUCUUGAUGAUCUUUAGAUCAGGGUCAAAUCUGGGUCAUGUGGUAUCAAACACUAGGUCACUGGGUCAAAUCAAAGGAAAAGCUAUUUAACACUUUAGAGGCCACAUUUAUGAUCAUAUCUUAAUGAAACUUGGUCAGAAUGUUAAUCUUGAUCAGGGGUUCCAUUUGACCCGGGACCCCGGGUCCGGACCCGGGAGAUUUUCAAAAGAUGCUCAAAGGACCCGGCAGAAUACUUGCCUGUGCGUCCUUCGGGACCCGGGGGUAUUUUCCUUUGAUAAUCCUUUCUCUUAUCAUUAAUCUCUUUCAGUAAAACUAUUCCACGAUAGACACGUGUAUUCAAAAUAAACACUCGCGGUCAUGCUCUCCUGCCUUUGAUCUCUGCUAAAUCCCGCCCUUUCUCCUGUAGACAUGCCUCGCUGAUUUUUUGUCAGCAAGUUACGUCACGGCGAGUGCACAUAGGUAACAAGAAAUCAAUGAAGUGUUGAAAUUAAUUGAUAAAGCGAAUCCUGUGUACUGUCAAAAAAGGCGCCAAUUAUUAAAUUAUCGUAAGCAGCUGAUUACCGAGCAUGUGAGAAGUGCCCUGCAAGAUUUUUUCAUGCCAACUUUAAAUUAGACCAUUGUUUAGUGAUCAUAUCGUAAUUUCAACAAGAAACAUCACAAAUUUUGAUGAAUUUCGAAAGCAAAAAUAAGUUUAGAAUGUCCGUUCACGGGUCUAAUUACACCCGAUGUCAUAUGCAUAUUUCCAAAAUUCCUAAAAAAACCUGACUUUCAGUGCAGUUUUUUAUGAUAAGUAGCAUCAUUACUUGAGAAACUAUCGCUGAUUUAGAUUUGUUUGCCAAAUAAACUGAGCAAAAACUACUUUCUGAUGACAUUCUGAAAGUGUAACAGUAUUCGGAUAGUACAUUUUGGAUACAUUUUUCUAGAGUGUUACAGCACUGUUCUGUUAUUAAAAAUGAAAUGAAAUAUUGAAGAAAAACCUAAUUAAAAUAACAUGAAUUUUGAUAAAUAUUAGUUUACAAUAUGAGACUAUAUGACCUGAGACUGACAUUUUUAUUAUGCUGUAACAUGAUCUUGGGUUUAUUGUUUUCUUAGGUAAAGAUCUAUGUAUUACUGAAUAAAAAAUAUAGUAAAUUAUAUUGACGUGUUGGGACAGGACUCCUGUAUUUUGGAAAAGGACCCUUCAAAAUUUGGGCCCAAGGGUCCUGGGACUCUUGGGUUUUCGGGUCUAGUGGAACCCCUGAUCUUGAUAAUCUUUAUGUCAAUAGGUCAGGUGAGCGAUACAGGGCCUUCAUGCCCCUCUUGUUUUCCUAUUAGGUCUGUAACUGAACCAUCUGCCAAGGGAUUUUAUUAUUACUUGAUAGAAAUAAGCACAGCUUCCAGACCCUUAGCUUGAAAACUUAAAUCACAAUAUUUGGUGGAAGGUUAACAUGGAUUAACAUGGGUCUGUUUUUUGUCAAGUCGAUGACAUAGACUCUACCAUCUAUCAAGAGAUUUUACUAUUGGCACAGAUAAUUUUCAUAAUCAGUGAUAAUGAGAUAACAUGUGUGCAACAACUGUAGAUUUUCAGAUAUGCAAAAAUUCUGAUCCAAGCAUUUUAGGCUAUAACAUAUUGCAUAAUAGAAUGCUAUAGACAACAUUAACGGAUAUCAGGUCAUUAGAUAAUAUGCUGUAGUUGAGAUAGUUAGUAAAUUUCCAGGUGGGUUUCUCUGUAUUACAAGUCUAAACUUUAUUUACCUGUUUCCUCUGACCAAGCAGUACUGCAGGGGUAAUAAUCAUAUUAAGUGUAAUAGCUCUAGUUUAAUACAUAAAAUAUAUAAAAUUGUUAAAGUUUCUUCAAAUAAAUUUAUAAUUCAGUCAUGAACUGAUAUGGAAUUUAAAUGUUCAAAAGUGCUGUACAAAAAAUAUUAUCUGUCUGAUAGGACUUGGUUAAGGUGGACACAAUAUUAAACUCCACAAAAAUUAGCUCACAACAAAUAUUUCGCAGUAAUAAAGUCUGAUGUCUAUAUGUUUUGUUUUCCCAAAAAUUACUUUAUUAUGUAUAUUUGUGACAUGUUUUUGUUAAGAUUUUUAUGUAUUACAAAUUGUGGCCAUGCAAAGCCAGUAUGAUUUUAUACUAGAUUGUAAUACAGAAGGCAGAGGGAUUUUGUUUUGGCUUUGUCCGUCCAUCUGUUCGUCAAUCCGUCCAUCUGAAAUCUAAAAUGCUUACAAGUCAAAAAUUAUUUUAGCUAGUAUCGCCAAACCUUUUUUUUUUAGCACACGGCCUUGCUAACAUUUAGCAUUAUCCCUCUUGACACAGUAAAAGCAGAUUUUCCCCCUUGAUUUGGUAAAAAAAAAUGAAAAUGAUUAUAAUUCAAGAAGUACUUUAGCUAGAAUUAUCAAACCUCAUAUAAUUAUUAACUAGCAAAUGACCUUUGUUCACAUUUAGUAUUAUUAUCCUUGCCCCAGUAAAAGCAAAGUUUUUCCCCUUGACUUUGUAAAAAAUAAGGACUUUUUUUUUACUGCAACCAAGUAACUAUUGAUGGAUCUUCCUGAAACUUUACAAAAAUGUAGAUCAUGAUAGGAAGAUGAUGCGCAUAUAACUUUUGUCAGGAUUACUUCAGUAACCAGAGUUAUAUUGCCCUUUAAUUGUUUUACAAUCUAUAAAUGCCUACAUAGCAAAGUAAUACAUUGAUGAAUCUUCAAGAAAUUUAAAACAAGUUUAAAUAACUGUAGGGAAGUGGCCUAUUCAUAUCUUUCAAAAUACAGUAUUCACAAAAACAGCCUGUUUGGCUGGGGAUAUAAAUUCACUGUUUUUGCUUGUUGUGAAUUUAUUUAUCUUCAUUUUUUAUCAGUCUUUACAUGAUUAUGUAUUUACUGUAUUUCCAUUUUUUCAAUAUUUAACUUUAACUUCAAUGAUGGGAAUCAAACUACUUAAGAUAAUCUCACUUAAAAAAAUAGAUUAACAAUGUUACUGACACUUUAACAGCAAUGUAAAAAUUACUUAUCCAAGAAAUAAAGGCUGUAUACAUUACAUUAUGAGAUUAAUUCUCAUCAAAGACACAGCAAAUAAUGAGAAUGCAGGUAUAAUAAUGUGUUGACCAAAAUGACCAGUACCGGUAUAUCUCCAUUCUAUUUUAAUCAUGUUAUAUUGUAACUUAUUUUAGCUCGAUGAAUGAUUAAAAAUUUCUUCAGUCGUUAUAAGAAAAAAAUCAAGAAAGAGGUUUAUGAUUCACAAACAGGUGACUUGUAUGUUGAGACGUAGGUCCACUUGGCAUGUAAUAUGUGAAUUGCAGCUCACAUUUAUAGUCAAAUUCUUCUUAUGUUGAAGGAAUUACCAUAGAUUUUUGUAAAAAGAUUGUGACGCUUGAUAGAUUAAGGUCAAAAGCUUCCAAAAUUCAGAAAGUACUUCCAUAUUUGUUGACAAUUGUAAAAACAGUGGAACCUGUGUUACUUAAACCAGCCAAGGGAGCAACUCAGUAUGGCUGCUUAAUGUACUGCAGCUGAUUGCUGACAGAACAGUUGAAAUUUCAGCAAAAAGUCAAUCUUGGAAGUCAUCUUACUGACCGUUUAAGGCAAGUAGCUGCUUAAUACAGGUGACUGACUAUAUUUUAAGGUAAAAAUAAAAUGAUCCAGUGUGAACUUAUAAAAAAUACUUAUUCUGCAAAAAAGUGUUUAAUAGAUCUGUACUGUGUUAGUCACACGGUAAAAAAUUUGAUGUUUCUUAGGGAAAAAUAGAAGUAAUUUAUAUGAACUGUAUAAUUACCAUGCUCUUUCAAUAUUGACAUUAAAAUGAUACUGAUUUAUGGAGUUUGCUAUUUUAUAGAUGCUGCUUCUCAUUUUAACAAUUUUAAUAUUGUGUUUAAAUCUGGACACACUUUUUUUUAGUCCACAGAUCUACAAAUAAUGUAUAAUGUAAUACUGUAUAAGCCAUUUCAUGUAUAAAUUAACCAGCUAGUAUCUUUGUAUGUAAAGUUAUUUAUUACAUUGUUGUAUCACAGUGUCAUGUAAAUGUUAACAAUAAAAUAUUGAAAUAAAUGUUUGUCAUGUAGAAGUGUUAAGUUUUUUUUGUAGGUAGGGAAAUGAAGUAAGUGUCUAUAUUGAUAUAAAGCUUCCCCAAAGUAGUCUUUCUUC